This 377-nucleotide ribosomal RNA is filed under the name uncultured organism. RNAcentral describes it as "partial 16S ribosomal RNA". It matches the Rfam family "Bacterial small subunit ribosomal RNA", at positions 527 to 896 of the family's 1533-position model. The record is from RNAcentral.
GUAGGUGGCAAGCGUUGUCCGGAAUUAUUGGGCGUAAAGCGCGCGCAGGCGGCUCUUUAAGUCUGAUGUGAAAGCCCACGGCUCAACCGUGGAGGGUCAUUGGAAACUGGAGAACUUGAGUACAGAAGAGGAAAGCGGAAUUCCACGUGUAGCGGUGAAAUGCGUAGAGAUGUGGAGGAACACCAGUGGCGAAGGCGGCUUUCUGGUCUGUAACUGACGCUGAGGCGCGAAAGCGUGGGGGGGAGCAAACAGGAUUAGAUACCCUGGUAGUCCACGCCGUAAACGAUGAGUGCUAAGUGUUAGGGGGUUUCCGCCCCCCCCUUAGUGCUGCAGCUAACGCAUUAAGCACUCCGCCUGGGAGUACGGCCGCAAGGCUG